GCCUCGAUGAUGAAAUUGGUAGACAUAGCAGACUUAAAAUCUGCAGCCUAAGGGCGUGCCGGUUCGAUUCCGGCUCGAGGCACCA
Molecule: transfer RNA, 85 nt
Filed under: Alcaligenaceae bacterium
Lineage: Bacteria; Pseudomonadati; Pseudomonadota; Betaproteobacteria; Burkholderiales; Alcaligenaceae
Also listed under: 1 other name
Description: tRNA-Leu
Rfam family: tRNA
About the family: Transfer RNA (tRNA) molecules are approximately 80 nucleotides in length. Their secondary structure includes four short double-helical elements and three loops (D, anti-codon, and T loops).
Source: RNAcentral